GAUGAACGCUAGCGGCAGGCCUAACACAUGCAAGUCGAGGGGCAGCACAGAAACAGCAAUGUUUUGGUGGCGACCGGCGGACGGGUGCGUAACGCGUAUGCAACCUACCUUUAACAGGGGGAUAACGGAGAGAAAUUUCCACUAAUACCCCAUAACAUCGAUCAAGGCAUCUUGAUUGGUUGAAAACUCCGGUGGUUAAAGAUGGGCAUGCGUUGUAUUAGGUAGUUGGUGAGGGAAUGGCUCACCAAGCCUACGGUACAUAGGGGGACUGGGAGGUUAGCCCCCCACACUGGUACUGAGACACGGACCAGACUCCUACGGGAGGCAGCAGUGAGGAAUAUUGGUCAAUGGGGGCAACCCUGAACCAGCCAUGCCGCGUGCAGGAAGACGGCUCUAUGAGUUGUAAACUGCUUUUAAACAGGGAUAAAGCACAGUAUGUAUACUGUGUUGAAGGUACUGUAAGAAUAAGGAUCGGCUAACUCCGUGCCAGCCGCCGCGGUAA
Molecule: ribosomal RNA, 502 nt
Filed under: uncultured bacterium
Lineage: Bacteria
Description: partial 16S ribosomal RNA
Rfam family: Bacterial small subunit ribosomal RNA
Source: RNAcentral